This is a long non-coding RNA of Ictalurus punctatus (channel catfish), 2575 nucleotides long. RefSeq lists it as uncharacterized. The transcript has 4 exons. The record is from RefSeq and is a predicted model, not a curated record. NCBI's taxonomy places the organism in Eukaryota, Metazoa, Chordata, Actinopteri, Siluriformes, Ictaluridae.
AUCUGAAAGGUCUGGGAGUUUUCAUUGUUUGUAAUGUGACUGGCAUUUUUAAAAAAUGUCUGGGAGUCGAUUCCUAAAAGAGUCGAGUCCCCGGGUCUUAUGGCACCAGUGUUGGGGACUCGAGAGUCGAUUGCAAAGCUUUGGAAUUGAUUCCACACAGACUGGAAUUAAUUUCGGGACAAGGUAUUUAAAAUACUGAGAUGGCAGUUAACAGAAUGCGUAAUCAGGAGUCCAGUUGAAAGACUGAGUCCCUCCACUAGCCUCCCCACAAUGAGGCUCACAGCUGAUCAGGUUCCACAGGUAAAGGCCUAAAGGUCCGUGCAGCGUCUCAUAUGGAUUUCCAAAGGCAUUGUACAUGAAGAAAGCAGAGCACACAGAUGAGAAGAGGAUGAGCACUGCACAGACGAUGAUGAUGCUCACAUGCAGACUAGCUGGGAUCACAUCCACCAGGACAUUUCAUGUAGUGGAGCCAGAAAAGAAAGGCAAUAUUUUCAAGCAAGUUAAUGGAAGUUAAGUAAUUCAUUAAGUAGUAUUCUGCUUUAUGUAUUGUAUAUUUAAUGUGAACAGUUAUUUCAUGGUAUUUAAUAGAAGCUUAUGAAAGAUAUAUUGUAGACCUAUGCUACUUAUUCUGGGUGAACAAUGAGACUCAAAAAUACUCUUUGUUUGGAUACAAGUAUUUGAGUAAAUGUGAGAAAUACUGUAUUUUAUUAUGCUCUAAAAAAAAAAGUAAGGUUCCAUUAGGGAACCACUGGGGGAUCUCACUGAAAGAACCAUACAAUUUUUCAAGUACAUUUGAAGCAAGAUUCUUAGAGGCACUUUUAAGGGUUCAGACAAAGAAGAAGCCCUAAAGGAUCAUUCCUAAAGGUUUUUACAGAUUAAAUUUCUACCUGGGCUAAACAUUCCAAAAAUAGAUUAAUACUGACACAUGCCCAGAUCACUAGACUUAAAUAAGUCAAUGCAAUGUUGUUCAGUGAGACUGGGUAUGCGAAACCUCUCAAAUUUGGGCUUGUUCCUAAUCUCAUUAGUGAAAACAAUUCAUUAAGCCUAAUAAGUCUAAUAACAGUGGCACGUUUGAGAGCAAAAUUGGUGAGAAACCAUCCUUUUUCCGUACAGCUUAUCCUACACGGCGUCACAGGGGGAGCCUGGAGCCUAUCCCAGGGAACUUGGGGCACAAGGCAUGGGACACCCUGGAUAAGGUGCCAACCCAUCAUAGGGCACAAUUGCACACACUUUCACACAUUAUGGACAAUAUGGAAAUGCCAGUCAGCCUACAACGCAUGUCUUUGGACUGGGGGACUACACCAGAGUACCCGGAGGAAACCCCCGAAGCAUGGGGAGAACAUGCAAACACACAGAGGUGCGAGGAAAACAUGCUAACCACUAAGACAUUGUGACCUCUGGUGAGAAACCAAUCGCUACAAAAAUUAAAUGAAUUCAUGGUCACAAUUCAUACAUUUUAAAUGGAGGAGGUGUGUCUCUGUCCACAUUACUAUGGGGCAUCCCCCAAAAGUUGGGUUGCCACUCAGUGUGAUAAAUUUUUUUCUGAAUUAUUGACAGAAACUGUUUUUUUUGUUUGUUUGUUUGUUUUAAAUAAAAGCCUAUAAUGUUACUUUAAAUAUUACGUUUCCAAUUGCGCUCAUAGUUUCAGGGUCCCCAUUUGAUCGUGAGCUUUGGGUUUCUGUCUGUAGGGAGUUUUACAUGUUCUCCCGAUGUCUGUGUGGGUUCGUUUUGGGUUCUCGGUUUUCCUCACAGAGGAUUAGGUGGAUUUGCUCUAAAUUCCCCUAGGAAUGAAUGAGUUUGUAAAUGUAUGUGUUGCACUGGGAGGACUAGCAUGGCAUCCGGGGUGUAUUCCCACUUCACACCCAGUUUUCCUGGGGUAGACUCCAGAACAAGGAUUAAGAGGUGAGGAUGAAUUAAUUCAUUUCUAGUUGUGUUGUGUUGGACUUUAAUAGCUGAAGAAUUUCAAAGCAAUGUAAAGGAUUUUUUAUUUUAUUUGCUUUUGCCAUGCAGACCUGACAAUGCUGGACGCAGAGGCGACCAGCUCGUGUAUAAAAACAGUUUACUUAAUUCUAAACCCAUCAGGCUGCUGGUAUUUGUGUAUUUAACACAGAAGAUCACAUUUAACCCUCCUGUUUGCAUGAUUUCAGUGCUCAUAUUUAGAUUAUAGUUGACAGGUGAUGAGGAUUUUUUAUUUAUUUAUUUAUUUAUUUUAAUUGUUUUUUUUUUUUUUGCUGUGUUCCUCACUGCUGCCUGCACAACGCUGGGUGAUAGUGAGAGGAUGGAAGCCACAGCUUUAUGGCUUUGGUAUGAACUGGACACACACACUGCUAUUAUAUUAAACAGUGUUGCAGGGUGUAGCUCAAGCCACUUAAACCCACGUGUUAAACCAGACCCAACAGUCAAAAGUACCCAGGUCUAAGAGGGAGAGAAAGAACAAAAAUGUCCAUAUGGCCUAUGCUACUUUUCAUUUCGUUAUCACAGGUGUACUGUAGUCUAGGUUUUUGGUUUCCACGCAGACCUGCGAGUUUUUAAUGCCGUCAGAAUGACACAGCUGCUUAGUUUACUUACAAGAGAA